Caenorhabditis elegans is the source of this 68-nucleotide non-coding RNA. The record is from Ensembl. Lineage: Eukaryota; Metazoa; Nematoda; Chromadorea; Rhabditida; Rhabditidae.
UUUUAGGCUUAGGCUUAGGCUUAGGCUAAGGCCUAGGCCUAGGCUUAGGAAUAGGCUUGGGCUUAGGC